This 465-nucleotide ribosomal RNA is filed under the name Vreelandella stevensii. RNAcentral describes it as "partial 16S ribosomal RNA". It matches the Rfam family "Bacterial small subunit ribosomal RNA", at positions 338 to 795 of the family's 1533-position model. The record is from RNAcentral. Lineage: Bacteria; Pseudomonadati; Pseudomonadota; Gammaproteobacteria; Oceanospirillales; Halomonadaceae.
CCUACGGGGGGCUGCAGUGGGGAAUAUUGGACAAUGGGCGAAAGCCUGAUCCAGCCAUGCCGCGUGUGUGAAGAAGGCCUUCGGGUUGUAAAGCACUUUCAGUGGGGAAGAAAGCCUUGGGGCUAAUACCCUCGAGGAAGGACAUCACCCACAGAAGAAGCACCGGCUAACUCCGUGCCAGCAGCCGCGGUAAUACGGAGGGUGCGAGCGUUAAUCGGAAUUACUGGGCGUAAAGCGCGCGUAGGCGGUCUGAUAAGCCGGUUGUGAAAGCCCCGGGCUCAACCUGGGAACGGCAUCCGGAGAGGUCAGGCUAGAGGGCAGGAGAGAAAGGUGAAAUCCCGGGGGGAGCGGGGAAAUGCGUAGAGAGCGGGAGGAAUACGGGGGGCGAAGGCGGCCUUCGGAACUGAAACUGACGCUGGGGUGCGAAAGCGUGGGUAGAAAACAGGAUUAGAUACCCUGGUAGUC